UCAGAAUGAACGCUGGCGGCGUGCUUAACACAUGCAAGUCGAACGAGAAAUCUUUAGCUUGCUAGAGAAAGUAAAGUGGCGCACGGGUGAGUAACGCGUGGGUAAUCUGCCUCCGAAUCGGGGAUAACAUUGCGAAAGCGAUGCUAAUACCGGAUAAAAUCUGGUUGGCUUAGGUGAACCGGAUCAAAGGUGGUCUCUUUAUAAAAGCUACCGUUUGGAGAUGAGCUCGCGUACCAUUAGCUAGUUGGUGAGGUAAAGGCUCACCAAGGCGACGAUGGUUAGCUGGUCUGAGAGGAUGAUCAGCCACACCGGAACUGGAACACGGUCCGGACUCCUACGGGAGGCAGCAGUGAGGAAUUUUGCGCAAUGGGGGAAACCCUGACGCAGCAACGCCGCGUGAGUGAUGAAGGCUUUCGGGUCGUAAAGCUCUGUCAGGUGGGAAGAACCCACCAAGUGUUAAGGCCACUUGGUGCUGACGGUACCACCGAAGGAAGCACCGGCUAACUCCGUGCCAGCAGCCGCGGUAAUACGGGGGGUGCGAGCGUUAUUCGGAAUCAUUGGGCGUAAAGGGCGCGCAGGCGGUUUUGUAAGUCAGAUGUGAAAUCCCGGGGCUUAACCCCGGAAGUGCAUAUGAAACUAUGAGACUUGAGUAUGGGAGAGGGAAGCGGAAUUCCUGGUGUAGCGGUGAAAUGCGUAGAUAUCAGGAGGAACACCGGUGGCGAAGGCGGCUUCCUGGACCAAUACUGACGCUGAGGCGCGAAGGCGUGGGGAGCGAACAGGAUUAGAUACCCUGGUAGUCCACGCAGUAAACGUUGAUCACUAGGUGUAGCGGGUAUUGACCCCUGCUGUGCCGGAGUUAACGCAUUAAGUGAUCCGNCUGGGGAGUACGAUCGCAAGAUUAAAACUCAAAGGACUUGACCGGGGCCCGCACAACCGUGGAGCAUGUGGUUUAAUUCGACGCAACGCGAAGAACCUUACCUGGACUUGACAUCUCGGGAAUCCCGUUGAAUGACGGGAGGGCCUUUAACGAGGAAUCCGAUGACAGGUGCUGCAUGGCUGUCGUCAGCUCGUGUCGUGAGAUGUUGGGUUAAGUCCCGCA
Molecule: ribosomal RNA, 1099 nt
Filed under: uncultured organism
Description: bacterial SSU rRNA
Rfam family: Bacterial small subunit ribosomal RNA
Source: RNAcentral